This 2228-nucleotide small RNA is filed under the name Rattus norvegicus (Norway rat). RNAcentral's name for it is "uncharacterized LOC102548729". Lineage: Eukaryota; Metazoa; Chordata; Mammalia; Rodentia; Muridae. The record is from RNAcentral.
AAAAAAAAAAAAAAAGAGUUGGGAUGCAGGUCAGUAGCGUUGAGGACAAAGUUUUCCCUCCCUUCUUUUCCCCUCCCUCCCUUCCUCCUUCUGUUUCUUCUCUCCCUCCCUGGCUUUCAGCAUUGUUAAUCAUUCCCCAGCUGCUAGCAUCUGCAGGCUGAGCCGGCAGAGAAGUGUGAGCCUUAUCCUGUGCCGGAGCCAGGGGCCCCAACUCCAAGAAAAAGAGAGUGUAACCCGGCAGCCCUUCUGGAAUGUCCUGCCAAGUCUCAGAGGGUGAGUUAAGCACCACCCUUGGCCUAGAGGUCAGAUCAAAGUUGGGAGUCACCAAAUCUCAAGGAUCCAACAGGAAAGUGAGUGAAUGGGGGUUUCACAGGGACAUUCUAGACUCUAGACUGAGGGGGGGGGGGAAGGCAGUUGUAUACUCCCCUUCUCCCCACCCAGUUCUGAGGUACUUCUCUUCAGCCUAAAUGGAAGGGAAACAUGGGUUCUGCCCAGAAGCCAGGGAGAGCAAACCGGAGUGGAGGAACAAACAUAUACAGUUCCCCUGCCCUUGGGAGCAGGCUCCCACCAGCCCCAGGGGAGAGGCUGCAAGCUGAAGUAAACAAGUUCCAGAGAAGGGAGCAAAACUCCAGGCAGUAUUCCAGGAACUCUGUCAGAUGUGAGGGGUGCCUGGAGGCCUUGUCCUGGCUGCCCAGAUGCUGGGUGGGGGCUUUCCAAAAGCCCUGGAAAUUCUGAGCGUCUACGGAGGCCCCAGGUGCAGGGCUGAGCCUGCGCAGAAAACUCUUCCACGUUAGAGCCAAUGAGGAUGCGCAGUGCAACCCUGGCCAAGGUCCGGACUCCCCAGCUGGGGAUGUCUGGGAAAGUAGACUGCCCAGAGAGCAGAACACGGGGUCCACGGGUGUGCUUUUGACAGCCAGAAGUGGGGGUGGAGUGCGGUGUUUUCCAUGGCAAAAGAUGGAUGCUAGUCCAGGUCCUUGGGCACUGCCAAGUUCCCUGCAACCUCAACAGUACUCCUUGAGGUCCUAUUGGGUGGGUCAAUCCACAGUCAUUGAAUUAGCUUACGCAAUCAGCCCCAGGUAAUGGAAGGCAGCAUGGUUCUGGGCAAUAAAGCCCAGUAGUGUGAGCCGAGGGUCACUUGCUUUGUUUCUGCCUUGUUGCAAAAGUCCUCCAAAGUGCAGAUAAAUCAGAUGCUGAAAUCUGUGAUGGCAGACACAGAUCCCCACCCACCCAGUUCAGACCUUUGACUACGAUAUACGACUAUAGCCGGCAACCGUCACAUGCUGCGGAAGCUGCUGCCUAAUCCCAGCACCCCAACCCCAAAGCCUCCACUCAGCACAGGACCCUCGGUACACAUGAGCAUCUUGUUUCUCUAACGCCAGCAGGGAUGGAGGUAACAAGACUGUCCUCCCAGCCCAGUUCUAAUUUCAGCAACCCUUCAGGCUGACAGUGGCGUCUGGAGAAUUCAGGACCUGCCUGGGCUACAGGAUGAGACCCUAUCCCAAACCGGAAACCAACAAAUAAAAACAAAAUCUCCACCUUAGGAGAUGAGAGGAGCUCAGGUGGAUUCCAUGACCUCACGUAUGCCAGGCAGGCGUUCUACCGCAGAAAACUGUUUUUAGUUCCGGAAGUGUCUCCUAAACCUCGCCAAGCAAGCAUGGGAAAUUCUUGAGGAUCUUGAUAAGAGGUAGGAUUCUAAUCCAGUGAUCUGGGUGGAGUCUGAGAGUCUGUGUUCUGUUCAAUCUCCUUGGUUAGUGUAAUGGCUGCUGUGAAGACCACACUUUGAGAGGCACGGCUCUGGGCUUCCAGAAGCAUAAAUGUCAGCUGAUGGAUCCCUGGACAGUGACUCAGCCCGAGAGUAUGCAGACACUAAAGAAACGCUAGGACUGGGCUGUGUAGACUCCAGCUUGAAGCAGCAGAGAUUCGAACCAAAGGUCACGCUACCCAGCGCUACCAGAAGUGCUUCUGGAUGUUCCCUUGUGCUGAACAGCAUGGCUACCUGUGAUCUAUCCAGGCUUUCUACCUCAGCCACUGCUGCUUUAAGUAUAAUCAUCUCCAGGGCUGAGGAUGUGGCUGUCUGUUAGCGCAUUCGCCUAGCGUGUGGGAAACCCUAGGUUCAAUUCCAAGAGCUGCUUAGAGUACGUCUGGGACUGCUCACCUGGGAUCCCGGCGCUCAGGAGGUGGACGCAGGAGGAUCAAGAAGCUGAAGGUCAGGGGUUGGGGAUUUAGCU